RNAcentral lists this long non-coding RNA (1491 nucleotides) under Malus domestica (apple). Its description in RNAcentral is "long non-coding RNA (MDOM_LNC008553)". The record is from RNAcentral. Lineage: Eukaryota; Viridiplantae; Streptophyta; Magnoliopsida; Rosales; Rosaceae.
UUCGAACAUUUCGCCUCUAUACAAUUUUAACAAGAAGGUAUUGGAUCCGGAUCUAACAAUCCAAAGCAUCCAUUUAUUACCAACUCGUAAUUUAUGUUUUUAGAGGAAUCACAACUUAAGUUGGGAUUAAUCACUACCUUGCAACCUUUUGGGUUUUAAGCAUCAUUAUAUUCUAAACAGUUAACACUACCAUAUUAUCUCUACUAUAGAGAUAAUUAAUUAGAUUACCAUAAUCCAAUCAUUGAUUAAUAAAGAACAUUGUUUUGUCAAACAAAACAUUUAUCCAUUUCACAUAGUGACGGAAUUUAGUUCCUUAAAAUUUGGAAUAUAAAGACAAUCUAUGUUUUUCCAAUUUCUUUGGUAGUUCAUAUGAGGAAGUAAGUACCAUCUGCUUUCGCAGAGAUCUACAUUUGAUUCACGUUUCGAAUGUGAAGUACUUUCUCUUCUCUCAUUAAUCUUCUACUUCUUAUUAGUCACACUUUUACAACGAUUGUAAAACAUAGUUACUAAUACGGAAUCAAGCAUUCAAGUAGAAGAACCAACUGUUUUGAACUAUUCAAGAACAAUUUACAACACCUUCGAAAGGUGUGUUCUUGACACUUACAAGACAUUUCUUGCAAAUACCCUUUCCAAUGUCCAUCCUUUCAUAAAGAAAGUUUGUUCCCUUGGAGUUAAAUCUUAUCUUCUUCAUUUGACUUUCACCUUUGACUACAUUAGUCAUGGUCCCUAAACUCCCACUAUCUCUCUUGAAACUUAUUUCAAUUGUGUUAUACACAUCAAACAUUUUGGAGAGCAUGUGGUUAUUGUUCACCACAUAGUUUACAAUAAACUUAGUGAACCAUUACGAUAGGGACACAUAGGUGAAGUCCUUGCAUAGUUUCCGUCUCGUUAAGUGGUUUAUCACUUCAACACUCAAUGAUUCAAAAUCAUCAUAAGUCCAUGUUAAUGGACUAUUUUUGUCAACCAAUCAUUAUGUUCUAAACAUAAUUACAAACUUUCAAGAGUUGUACAAGGCAACUCUUAUUUCUUCAUACAACAAUUUGUAAGUGAAGAAUCAUGGCACAUUAAGUGUCCAUGCCUUUGUGCUUUCUUCUCAAGUUCUUUGUUCAUGUAACAAAGAAACAAGCACUAAGUGUUUGCAUUGACUAAGGGUUGUUCAAAACAACUCAUUAUUUCUUCAUACAACGAUUUAUAAGUGAAGAACUAAUAACACUAAAAGUGUCCUUUUCUUUAUGCUAAUCUUCGUAAGUUCCUUUGUUCAUUUAACAAAGGAUUAAGCAUUGGUUGUUUGUGUUGUCCUCUUCAUUAUAGACUUUUCUAACAUGUUCUUCCAAUGAUACAUUAUCAUUAGGAAGAUUGUGAGGAUGAGACUACUUAGAUACAUAUACAAUCCAUUUAAGACAAUCUUUGGGAUUGUGGUACCAAGUCCGGAAACUAAAGCUUUCGGCUUUUAUUUGUCAAGUGUUGGAUAGCGUUUGCAAAUAUAUUGGU